UUAUUAUUUUUAAAUAAAAAAUUCUCCUAACAUAAUAAAAUUAAGUAAUUUAAAUCUCUAAUUUUAUUUAAAUUUCACCACACCCUUUCAUCCUACUAAAUUCACCCCUCACUCCUUAAUUUUAUUAUUAAAUCUAAUUUCCUUUAUUAUUUUAAUUAAUUCAAAUUAAACUAAUUUCUCGUAACCCUUAACUACCCAAUAAUUA
Molecule: long non-coding RNA, 205 nt
Filed under: Lathyrus oleraceus (garden pea)
Lineage: Eukaryota; Viridiplantae; Streptophyta; Magnoliopsida; Fabales; Fabaceae
Description: Pisum sativum (pea) long non-coding RNA (PSAT_LNC033389)
Source: RNAcentral